This 468-nucleotide ribosomal RNA is filed under the name uncultured bacterium. RNAcentral describes it as "partial 16S ribosomal RNA". It matches the Rfam family "Bacterial small subunit ribosomal RNA", at positions 28 to 507 of the family's 1533-position model. The record is from RNAcentral.
GACGAACGCUGGCGGCGUGCUUAACACAUGCAAGUCGAACGGAAAGGCCCUGCUUUUGUGGGGUGCUCGAGUGGCGAACGGGUGAGUAACACGUGAGUAACCUGCCCUUGACUUUGGGAUAACUUCAGGAAACUGGGGCUAAUACCGGAUAGGAGCUCCUGCUGCAUGGUGGGGGUUGGAAAGUUUCGGCGGUUGGGGAUGGACUCGCGGCUUAUCAGCUUGUUGGUGGGGUAGUGGCUUACCAAGGCUUUGACGGGUAGCCGGCCUGAGAGGGUGACCGGCCACAUUGGGACUGAGAUACGGCCCAGACUCCUACGGGAGGCAGCAGUGGGGAAUAUUGCACAAUGGGGGGAAGCCUGAUGCAGCAACGCCGCGUGCGGGAUGACGGCCUUCGGGUUUUAAACCGCUUUCGCCUGUGACGAAGCGUGAGUGACGGUAAUGGGUAAAGAAGCACCGGCUAACUACGUG